Molecule: transfer RNA, 72 nt
Organism: Plasmodiophora brassicae
Lineage: Eukaryota; Endomyxa; Phytomyxea; Plasmodiophorida; Plasmodiophoridae
Rfam family: tRNA
About the family: Transfer RNA (tRNA) molecules are approximately 80 nucleotides in length. Their secondary structure includes four short double-helical elements and three loops (D, anti-codon, and T loops). Further hydrogen bonds mediate the characteristic L-shaped molecular structure. tRNAs have two regions of fundamental functional importance: the anti-codon, which is responsible for specific mRNA codon recognition, and the 3' end, to which the tRNAs corresponding amino acid is attached (by aminoacyl-tRNA synthetases). tRNAs cope with the degeneracy of the genetic code in two manners: having more than one tRNA (with a specific anti-codon) for a particular amino acid; and 'wobble' base-pairing, i.e. permitting non-standard base-pairing at the 3rd anti-codon position.
Source: Rfam
GGGUCGAUAGCUCAGCGGUAGAGCGGAGGAUUGCAGAUCCUCAGGUCGCGCGUUCGAUCCGCGCUCGGCCCU